GUGCCAGCAGUCGCGGUAAUACGUAGGUGGCAAGCGUUGUCCGGAUUUAUUGGGCGUAAAGCGAGCGCAGGCGGUUUCUUAAGUCUGAUGUGAAAGCCCCCGGCUCAACCGGGGAGGGUCAUUGGAAACUGGAAGACUUGAGUGCAGAAGAGGAGAGUGGAAUGCCAUGUGUAGCGGUGAAAUGCGUAGAUAUAUGGAGGAACACCAGUGGCGAAGGCGGCUCUCUGGUCUGUAACUGACGCUGAGGCUCGAAAGCGUGGGGAGCGAACAGGAUUAGAUACCCUGGUAGUCCACGCCGUAAACGAUGAGUGCUAAGUGUUGGAGGGUUUCCGCCCUUCAGUGCUGCAGCAAACGCAUUAAGCACUCCGCCUGGGGAGUACGACCGCAAGGUUGAAACUCAAAGGAAUUGACGGGGGCCCGCACAAGCGGUGGAGCAUGUGGUUUAAUUCGAAGCAACGCGAAGAACCUUACCAGGUCUUGACAUCCUUUGACCACUCUAGAGAUAGAGCUUCCCCUUCGGGGGCAAAGUGACAGGUGGUGCAUGGUUGUCGUCAGCUCGUGCCGUGAGAUGUUGGGUUAAGUCCCGCAACGAGCGCAACCCUUAUUGUUAGUUGCCAUCAUUUAGUUGGGCACUCUAGCGAGACUGCCGGUG
This 652-nucleotide ribosomal RNA is filed under the name uncultured bacterium. Its description in RNAcentral is "bacterial SSU rRNA". It matches the Rfam family "Bacterial small subunit ribosomal RNA", at positions 505 to 1157 of the family's 1533-position model. The record is from RNAcentral.